This 809-nucleotide long non-coding RNA is filed under the name Homo sapiens (human). RNAcentral's name for it is "HSALNT0119952". The record is from RNAcentral. Lineage: Eukaryota; Metazoa; Chordata; Mammalia; Primates; Hominidae.
GGAUGCAGCAGAUUCUACGGCUCUUCAGUCUGUGGUGCCCAUGCACGAUUUCUACCUGUUUUCAAAGGUUCUCACCUUUGUGUUGCCCUAAUGAUGUUUGCCUGUGCUUUAAUCUUAUUAAGUGCAGUUUGAGUGUGCUGAUGAGCCCAGACACUCUGCCUAAAUUGGUCACUUGAUUUUUCCCCACCUCUUACACCUGACACUCUCUCUAUCCACCACCACCUGUGAUCAAGCUUCUCUUCCCCCCUUGCCUUAUAGUCCUGAAAACAUUUCUCCUUCCAAAGAUUUUUGGUAUUUCAUCUGCUACUAAACAACAUGCUGCCGGAUAAUUAAAGAGCCACAUUUGGGGUGUUUUCAAGAAUCUCCGUGUGUUCCUGGGAUGGUUCCACAGAACUUCAGAUUACAUCGUCUGUUAUACAUUGUUAAAGGGAAUUGUUGAAAUCAGAGACGUCCAUUGAGCCCAGAAAGAACCAGAGGAGCAACAAUAAUAGCUGGAUGCUAUAAAUGCCUCAGUAUUUGAACUCAUCUUUCAAUCAUUGCACUCACCGUAGGUAGAAUAUUCAGCAAAAGGACGUUUGCCACAGAACCAUCAUCUGUUUCUCACUCUGCAGUGUCUGACAGUGAGUGAGAUCGGCUCACUUUGAUACUGAAUGUGUUGGUUGGAGAUAAUUAAUUCCCAGCCUGUGUGAGUUAAUCAUUGUUUCCCCACUUUUCUCAGCUUUAAUCAGACUCCCAUGAGCCUUCCACUGAGCAUGCUCACAAGAGCAUUCACGUGCCCCUUGUUAUUGCUGUCAAAUCCCGUAUGCGAA